Non-coding RNA from Phrynosoma platyrhinos (Desert horned lizard), 72 nucleotides. NCBI's taxonomy places the organism in Eukaryota, Metazoa, Chordata, Lepidosauria, Squamata, Phrynosomatidae. The record is from the annotation of a GenBank genome assembly.
GCCAGUGUGGCAUAGUGGUUUGAGUGCUGGACUAUGACUCUGCAGGUCAGGGUUCAAAUCCCUACUCCACCA